ACAGAUCUGUCUUCCCCUUCCAUGUUGGCUGUGAUCUGGGAAACAGACGUUCCCGGCCUCUCUGAGAUUCAGAGAUUUGGGAGCCAUGCAGAGAGGGAUGCACACAGGCCGCCUUCAGGAUUUGGAAAGAUUACAGAAAUACAUCCUCCCAACUCCCCGACCCUGGGACGCAGCUUCACCCACUAGCAGCCUGGAUCAGCCCUGGGACUCCCCUCCUGCCCCCACCCCACCCCAUCCACGAGGAGGACAACACCGGCUCCAAGACUGCAGGCCUGCAUACAUAUCUUUGUAUGGUAACAGAUGGUGAAGUAUGCCCUGAUGCAGACAUCAUUUUCCUUUACCCACCUUCUUUUAUUUUCUGAACUUCAUUCUAUCUUGAACCAGGUUGUGAAGUUUUACUAAAUUUUCCCUGCGAGAAAAUGAUUUUGAACUUGUC
This is a long non-coding RNA of Hippopotamus amphibius kiboko, 436 nucleotides long. RefSeq lists it as uncharacterized. Lineage: Eukaryota; Metazoa; Chordata; Mammalia; Artiodactyla; Hippopotamidae. The transcript has 3 exons. The record is from RefSeq and is a predicted model, not a curated record.